AUACGUAGGUGGCGAGCGUUGUCCGGAAUUAUUGGGCGUAAAGGGCGCGUAGGCGGGAUAGUCAGUCUGUUGUAAAAGUUCGGGGCUCAACCCCGUGAAGCAAUGGAAACUGCUAUUCUUGAGUGCAGGAGAGGAAAGUGGAAUUCCCAGUGUAGCGGUGAAAUGCGUAGAUAUUAGGAGGAACACCAGUGGCGAAGGCGACUUACUGGACUGUAACUGACGCUGAAGCACGAAAGCGUGGGGAGC
This 246-nucleotide ribosomal RNA is filed under the name uncultured bacterium. RNAcentral describes it as "partial 16S ribosomal RNA". It matches the Rfam family "Bacterial small subunit ribosomal RNA", at positions 523 to 769 of the family's 1533-position model. The record is from RNAcentral.